Non-coding RNA from Ciona savignyi (Pacific transparent sea squirt), 81 nucleotides. The record is from Rfam. Lineage: Eukaryota; Metazoa; Chordata; Ascidiacea; Phlebobranchia; Cionidae.
GUCGUCGUGGCCGAGUGGUUACGGCGACAGACUUGAAAUCUGUUGGGCUCUGCCCGCACAGGUCGAAUCCUGUCGGCGACG